GGAAGUUUUCCCUAACUGGCCAUCAUUUCAGGGACUUUGAAUGUAAGAUAUUAUUUCCAGUCUAUUUGUUCUUUCUUUGCUUGGCUUAGAUGAGAUGCAUCACUGUUAAUAAUUAAUUAAUGAGGAGAAAAAGAAAGGAAAACUAAAGUUUCCCUCUGUGUCUCUUCUCUUUAAAACAUUUUGUUUCUGACUGAGACCUUUGGCAGAGUUCAAACUGCUGAAGGAGACUGUUCUUGGUUGGGCCAGGCACCAGGUCCCCAUAAGGCUGUACCUCCCUGUGUGGGAUCAACCAGAACUCAACAGGCUCCCUCCCUGCUGAAGCACUUGGAUUGCUGUGACCCUCGUGGUUGGUGGAGUUGGCGCUGAGAGCCUGGGGUGGAUGGUGACUAGUACUUUCGACCACUGAACAUCACACUGGUCGCCAACCAUGUUCAGCAGCUCAGCAUGGUGAAGUUUCUUCAGAGAAAACACGAAAGAUGGACACUUGCAGAGGGUAUUUAGGCCAGUUGUUCAUUAUUCUUUCAAGAGCCAGCUGAUGUGUUUUUAUAAUGAAAAGGAAUCUUAGAAAGGAGACAGUUCUAAAGAAACCCCUACUGGUCAGGCCAGGCUCUGCACUCCCCCUCCAUGGACUGUUGAAUCUGCAUUGCCAUUCUAGAACUUGGGGAAAGACAGGUGAUGGGAGCUAAGCAAGAAAGGGACGUGUCUCUUCUGCACCUCUGUGCACGACUCCAGAGCGCAGCUCCAGCUGGUGAGAAGAGGAGAUAAAUGUAAAACUCACAGAGAGAGACUGCUAUUUCACUGCGGAAAUAAUUAGAUGGACCUUUCUUGACUUCUAGACUACAGAGUAAAAUACUUCUUCCAGGAUAGCUAUUAAUGGAAGAAGUCCCAAAGACAAGUGCUCGUUGACCAAAGGCAGGCUAAUUCGCAAAGAUCAAUGGUCCGACAGCCCUCAUCUAUCAUCUUGGACAUGUGUGCAUGGUAAUCAGUGGUCAUCCAUCUCUUUCCUGUAUGUCGAUUAAUCUUUUAAAUUUUGUAGGCUUUCUACCCUGGUGUAGUGCUUCUUAUA
Long non-coding RNA from Myiozetetes cayanensis, 1066 nucleotides. RefSeq lists it as uncharacterized. NCBI's taxonomy places the organism in Eukaryota, Metazoa, Chordata, Aves, Passeriformes, Tyrannidae. The record is from RefSeq and is a predicted model, not a curated record. The transcript is spliced from 8 exons.